UAGAUUAUACGGAAUAUAAGAUAUGCAAUAUGCUAACCAAGUAAAUGUGAUUUCAAGUGUUAAAUAUUGGAAAACAAUUUAUAGAUUGUAUUUGGGUUUAUAGGUUCAUGCCUAGGAUUUAGAUUUACUAAGUAAAGGUUUGGGUAUAAUAAACCAUAUUAUAUACAUUCUAUUUGGGUUUAUACUUCUUUGAUUAGGGUUUAGCUUAAUCUAUUUAUUUAGGUUUAGGGUUUAUGGUAUAUUUGGAUUAGGGUUUAUGGUAUAUUUGGAUUAGGGUUUAGUGAUUAGAAUGUAAGGUUUAGUAUUUAGAAGGUGAGGGGGUAUGGUUGGGAUGAGCAUUAACUUCUUUCAUGCAAUCAUAGAUAUUUUAUAGUUUCACCAAUAUGUACUAUGUUAUUUAUUUUGUUUCAUUCUAUUUGGGUUUUGUGUUUAUAUUUGGGUUUAGGGUUUAUAUUUGAGUUAUGGUUUAGUGAUUAGAAUUUAGGGUUUAGAUUUACUAAGUAAAUGUUUGGGUAUAGUAAACCAUAUAAUAUAUAUUAUAUUUGGGUUUAUAUUUUCUUGAUUAGGGUUUAGCUUAAUCUAUUUAUUUCAAGUAAAUGUGCUUUCAAAUGUUUAAUAUUGGAAAACAAUUUAUAGAUUGUAUUUUGGUUGGUAGGUUCAUGCCUAGGGUUUAGGUUU
This 678-nucleotide long non-coding RNA is filed under the name Brassica napus (rape). Its description in RNAcentral is "long non-coding RNA (BNAP_LNC010698)". Lineage: Eukaryota; Viridiplantae; Streptophyta; Magnoliopsida; Brassicales; Brassicaceae. The record is from RNAcentral.